GACGAACGCUGGCGGCGUGCUUAACACAUGCAAGUCGAACGGAAAGGCCCUGCUUUUGUGGGGUGCUCGAGUGGCGAACGGGUGAGUAACACGUGAGUAACCUGCCCUUGACUUUGGGAUAACUUCAGGAAACUGGGGCUAAUACCGGAUAGGAGCUCCUGCUGCAUGGUGGGGGUUGGAAAGUUUCGGCGGUUGGGGAUGGACUCGCGGCUUAUCAGCUUGUUGGUGGGGUAGUGGCUUACCAAGGCUUUGGCGGGUAGCCGGACUGAGAGGGUGACAGGCAACAUAGGGAAUGAGAUACGGCCAAGAGGCAUACGGGAGGCAGGAGUGGGGAAUGUAGGAAAAAGGGCGGAAGGAUGAUGGAGCAACGCCGGGUGGGGGAUGACGGCCUUCGGGUUGUAAAACGAGUGCGACUGUGACGAAGCGUGAGUGACGGUAAUGGGUAAAGAAGCACCGGCUAACUACGU
This 467-nucleotide ribosomal RNA is filed under the name uncultured bacterium. RNAcentral describes it as "partial 16S ribosomal RNA". It matches the Rfam family "Bacterial small subunit ribosomal RNA", at positions 28 to 506 of the family's 1533-position model. The record is from RNAcentral.